This is a non-coding RNA of Pelobates cultripes (western spadefoot toad), 534 nucleotides long. The record is from the annotation of a GenBank genome assembly. NCBI's taxonomy places the organism in Eukaryota, Metazoa, Chordata, Amphibia, Anura, Pelobatidae.
GUCUGGGUGCCUAGAGUGGUCCUUUAAAUUUCAUAUAAUACUGUAACAGCACAGCUGACCAAAUGGUAAGGGAAUGGGAUGUCACACUAUUGAGGCAGAGUUGAUGCAGAGACUACUUUAAGCUCUGCAUCAAACAUGCAGUGAGGUUGUGGGUCAAAGUUGUUUGCUUGAAGCCCACAUUGUAAUGACACUGAUACGAUUUGUGGUAUAGUCUAUAAAGAGCACAUGGUGCAGUUGCUGUUGGACCCUGCAGAUCAUGGGUGCCUGGUCAGCUGCACCUUUCUCCCUGUUUUACAGACAAUCCUGUUUUUUCCCUUUCUAGUACUUUAGUCCUGCAGUUACCCCAAGCCAUUGUGCCAAACACCCAGUGGUUCUUGUAUUAAAUCUUGCCAUAGUAGAGGUUUUACUUUUUUAGGGUGUACUUGUACACUUGGGACACUGGAACUUAAUGGUUAGCUGAUCUACCCCACCACUUAAACCAUUUAAGUAAAAAGUGUAGCGCUAAGACAUUUUUUAUACAACUUACCCCUCAAG